UUGGUGUAUCGAAUCUUCAUCCAUGAUUUGGGCAAAUUCAAGAUUAACUUGUAGACUCACAAAAUUGGGACAGUCAUCAGGUACGAUAGUUGGUGCAACUUCAGCAUAAACACGCCUAUGCCUCGAUCAUGCCUAUGUUCUCCAACUUCAAUAGAUUUUUUAAUGGAUACACCUAUGUCACAAUGCGGUUGUUGAUUCUCCCCUCCAAUUUG
Molecule: long non-coding RNA, 212 nt
Filed under: Gossypium barbadense (sea-island cotton)
Lineage: Eukaryota; Viridiplantae; Streptophyta; Magnoliopsida; Malvales; Malvaceae
Description: long non-coding RNA (GBAR_LNC015206)
Source: RNAcentral